Molecule: long non-coding RNA, 367 nt
Filed under: Brassica napus (rape)
Lineage: Eukaryota; Viridiplantae; Streptophyta; Magnoliopsida; Brassicales; Brassicaceae
Description: long non-coding RNA (BNAP_LNC007904)
Source: RNAcentral
UUUUUAUUAUAACUAUCAUAAAUGGAGAAAGCCGAAAAUAAACCCCAUCAUUUAUGUUUUAUGAUAUUUUUUGCAGACACUUAUUUUAUUUUGCAAGUUCGGGUUAUAUUCAACUGAGGGAAAAUAUACAUUUCUAAAUGUUCACUAAAAUUUAAAUAGUUUCUGCUUAGCAAUAAUAUAAACUGUUAAUAUUAUUUCCAAAAAAAAAUUGUAUCUUUCCAGUAAAAGAAAAAAAAAUUUCCUUUUUCUAUAUAUAUAUUUGCAUCUUCGCUUUGUAAGCGGCGACUUAGCUCUCUCUUUACGUUUUCGCAAACAUUAUUUAUCAAUCCCACUUUCUCGAUAAUCUGCGAGCAUCCCGAUCUGAGAA